This 1316-nucleotide long non-coding RNA is filed under the name Salmo salar (Atlantic salmon). RNAcentral describes it as "lncRNA (ENSSSAG00000116377.1)". The record is from RNAcentral. Lineage: Eukaryota; Metazoa; Chordata; Actinopteri; Salmoniformes; Salmonidae.
UUAGGGUUAGUGUGGUUAAGGUUAGGCAUUAGGGUUAGUGUGGUUAAGGUUAAGGUUAGGCAUUAGGGUUAGUGUGGUUAAGGUUAGGCAUUAGGGUUAGUGUGGUUAAGGUUAAGGUUAGGCAUUAGGGUUAGUGUGGUUAAGGUUAAGGUUAUGCAUUAGGGUUAGUGUGGUUAAGGUUAAGGUUAGGCAUUAGGGUUAGUGUGGUUAAGGUUAAGGUUAGGCAUUAGGGUUAGUGUGGUUAAGGUUAAGGUUAGGCAUUAGGGUUAGUGUGGUUAAGGUUAGGGUUAGUGUGGUUAAGGUUAAGGUUAAGGUUAGGCAUUAGGCUUAGUGUGGUUAAGGUUAAAGUUAAGGUUAGGCAUUAGGGUUAGUGUGGUUAGGGUUAAGGUUAAGGUUAGGCAUUAGGGUUAGUGUGGUUAAGGUUAAGGUUAGGCAUUAGGGUUAGUGUGGUUAAGGUUAAGGUUAGGCAUUAGGGUUAGUGUGGUUAAGGUUAAGGUUAGGCAUUAGGGUUAGUGUGGUUAAGGUUAAGGUUAGGCAUUAGGGUUAGUGUGGUUAAGGUUAAGGUUAAGGUUAGGCAUUAGGCUUAGUGUGGUUAAGGUUAAAGUUAAGGUUAGGCAUUAGGGUUAGUGUGGUUAGGGUUAAGGUUAAGGUUAGGCAUUAGGGUUAGUGUGGUUAAGGUUAAGGUUAGGCAUUAGGGUUAGUGUGGUUAAGGUUAAGGUUAGGCAUUAGGGUUAGUGUGGUUAAGGUUAAGGUUAAGGUUAGGCAUUAGGGUUAGUGUGGUUAAGGUUAGAUUUAGGUUUCAAAUCAGAUUUGAUGACUUUGUGGCUGUGCCAACUAGUGACCACUCUGCAGAGCUGCCUCCAGAACAACAUUCAUGUCAACAACCUCUUGCUUCCUCUGAGAUAAUAUUUACAUAGACUGAAGCGAGGUGGCGAUGUUAUGAUGGAAGACCAAAUGGAUUCCUAGAGCUGUGAUGCUGAAUGGGAAGACAGAGCCACAGAGCCACAGAGCUGUAAAAAUAAAUCUGUAAUUCUAUAAGCCUCCUUAAUUCCCCUCCCCUCUCCUUUCCUUUCCUUUCCAAUCUUCUCUUCUCCUCUCCUCUCCUGUCCUGUCCUCUCCUCUCAUUUCCUUUCCAAUCUUCUCCUCUCCUCUCCUCUCCUCUCCUCUCCUCUCCUCUCCUCUCCUCUCCUCUCCUCUCCUCUCCUCUCCUCUCCUCUCCUUUCCUUUCCUGUCCUUUCCUUUCCAAUCUUCUCCUCUCCUCUCAUCUCCUUUCCUCUCCUUUCCUUUCCUUUCCUCUCCUUUCCUUUCCAAUCUAC